Molecule: long non-coding RNA, 809 nt
Organism: Camelus dromedarius (Arabian camel)
Lineage: Eukaryota; Metazoa; Chordata; Mammalia; Artiodactyla; Camelidae
Exons: 3
Source: RefSeq, a predicted model, not a curated record
CAGAUUUUCCUCUUCUUCCUUCUGAUGACUUUGGACUGUCUGCGCUCACCAGGGACAGCCGGGAAGCUUUGGUUUCAUCUUCCUCCUGAGACAGAGAGACCCCUCACGGCAGGCCCUGGUGGCCUGGAGGUCCCUCUCAGCCCUGGAAUUCUCUGGUUUCUGGUAUCACUUCUCAUUAACUAAGGCAAAGGACUGGGUGUUCCUGGGCCUCAGCUUCCUCAGCGGCAACAUGGGAAUAACAGAACUGCAGUGAGAACACACGUAUUCGGCCGUCUGUGGUGCUCAGUGAAGCAGCUUCCUCUCCCACUACCCACUUUGUCCCUCUAGAGCUCAAAGAUCGGUAACCUAAGGAAUUGCAGGGAAGCUAAACAAUGACUAAAGGUUUAGAAAAUAAGAUCUAAGGAGAACAGGUGAAGGAAUGGUAAGUGUGUCAUAUGGGAAGGAGAGCCCUUACUCUGGACAGAGAGGGCAGUAAAUAACCAUGGCUGCCAUUUGUAAGCAAGGAAGAUGGCUGUCAGCCACUGGCAAGAGAGGACAAAGGCUACAUCUUUCUUUGGGACUCAUUAGAAGGGGACUCUCCAGGCCUCAGCUGCCUUAUGUGUGGGUUGCAUGAAGGCAGGCGUGAUGAUUUUCCCUGGGGAAAUGGGCUUGUGAGCACCAGGCUGGGGACUGAUCUCCUGGCCCGAGCACCCUGCCCCUCCUCAUUGGCCGGGGCUCGGGGGCUGGCACAGUUGAGUGCGUCCUUCUGUUUUUUCUGUAUGUUCCACUGUUACUGUGGAGAUUCCCUUUGCCUCACUCUAGUCAUUCCC